This 404-nucleotide ribosomal RNA is filed under the name Rhizobium leguminosarum. RNAcentral's name for it is "bacterial SSU rRNA". It matches the Rfam family "Bacterial small subunit ribosomal RNA", at positions 22 to 456 of the family's 1533-position model. The record is from RNAcentral. Lineage: Bacteria; Pseudomonadati; Pseudomonadota; Alphaproteobacteria; Hyphomicrobiales; Rhizobiaceae.
GCUCAGAACGAACGCUGGCGGCAGGCUUAACACAUGCAAGUCGAGCGCCCCGCAAGGGGAGCGGCAGACGGGUGAGUAACGCGUGGGAAUCUACCCUUGACUACGGAAUAACGCAGGGAAACUUGUGCUAAUACCGUAUGUGUCCUUCGGGAGAAAGAUUUAUCGGUCAAGGAUGAGCCCGCGUUGGAUUAGCUAGUUGGUGGGGUAAAGGCCUACCAAGGCGACGAUCCAUAGCUGGUCUGAGAGGAUGAUCAGCCACAUUGGGACUGAGACACGGCCCAAACUCCUACGGGAGGCAGCWGUGGGGAAUAUUGGACAAUGGGCGCAAGCCUGAUCCAGCCAUGCCGCGUGAGUGAUGAAGGCCCUAGGGUUGUAAAGCUCUUUCACCGGAGAAGAUAAUGACG